CUAGAGAAAAGUGACUCUCUAAUCACAUUGUAGAAUUUUAUAAGGACAUUUUAGGAAUGAAGUUUGUGAUUGAAGAAGGUGAAUAGUUGUCUUCAAUGAAUUUUAUGCAUCUGUAUUAUAUGCAGGUAGUGAGAAGGAUGUUUGAUCAGAUAUAUGAAAGAAAGGGAAUUUUUUGUUGUUGUAUCUGUCACGUUGAGAUGAAAAAAAAAUGUGCAUAAUACCAUGAUUGAUGUUGUACAUACAUUACUAUUUAGUGUUGCAAUACUGAGUCUCAUUAUAUGAUCAUGUCCAAAAUUUGUUAGUGUUUUUGUUUUGCAUCAAUUAACAUGCUAAAUAUAAUGACUGUUAGAGUAAGCUUGAUCUGUUAGACUGUAUAUGAUUGUGUGGCAGUACUUGCUACGUUAGAAAGCAUGUGCUUGGAUGACACUUUUUUUAUAGUAGCUAUUUUAGCUGUGAUCUGCAACAUGUGUCCAUGUAACUAGUAUAUCUGUAAAAACGUGUGGUUCCAAAUCAACUCCAUCACUGUGGCUUGAUUCUAGUUUCCUUAGAUGCAUUAUGUAUUGUCAUUGUGAUUUUCAUCAUGAACACCUGUUUUAAUUUUCAUCACCAUCCUUGUGUUGUUGGUAGGCUGGUAAUUGAAUUAUAUGGAUAUGAUCCUUGCCCUUUAAGAGAGAUGAUUCUGAAUCUGCAUUGUUCUUUGUUUUGUUCAUGUAUUGAUAAUUUCUUUAAGAUUGAUUCUAUCAAUGUACGAUAUCAGUGGUAGCAAGUUGCCUUGCUUUGUAUGUGCUAAAAUUUCACUUAUCAAGACAUUCCUUUUGUUGUUGAAGUGAAUUUUUAUUUCAUUUCGAUGUAUGAAGAUAAGAAAGCUCUAAGAGUAGUACAAAAAUUGAUAUGUGGCACUCCUUUAAUAAGGUUGAAUGUAUAUAUACUUGGAUACCUGUUUUAAUUGUAAGAUUAAUUUCAUUUUUAAAAAGAAUCCCUUCAAAAAUGUAGAUUCAUGUAUUUGUCUCAUAUACAGAAAUCUGGUAAUGCUUGAAAUGUUUUCACCUCAAAUCAUCCAUUAUGUUAUUUGGAUGCAGAGGGUAUUCAUUUACUAUGCUUGCUGAUUUAAGGUUGUAAAUAAUGUUUAUGGAAGAUGAGAUUUUAACUGAAUGAAGAUUAUAAACAUGUACACUGAUCAAAUUUGUAAACAUUUUCAUUAUAGCAUGAAAUAAAUAAUAGAACAAUG
Saccostrea cuccullata (small rock oyster) is the source of this 1228-nucleotide long non-coding RNA. RefSeq lists it as uncharacterized. The transcript is spliced from 2 exons. The record is from RefSeq and is a predicted model, not a curated record. Lineage: Eukaryota; Metazoa; Mollusca; Bivalvia; Ostreida; Ostreidae.